Molecule: ribosomal RNA, 462 nt
Filed under: uncultured bacterium
Lineage: Bacteria
Description: partial 16S ribosomal RNA
Rfam family: Bacterial small subunit ribosomal RNA
Source: RNAcentral
GACGAACGCUGGCGGCGUGCUUAACACAUGCAAGUCGAACGGAAAGGCCCUUCGGGGUACUCGAGUGGCGAACGGGUGAGUAACACGUGGGUGAUCUGCCCUGCACUUUGGGAUAAGCCUGGGAAACUGGGUCUAAUACCGAAUAUGAUCAUCGGCUUCAUGGUCGGUGGUGGAAAGCUUUUGCGGUGUGGGAUGGGCUCGCGGCCUAUCAGCUUGUUGGUGGGGUAAUGGCCUACCAAGGCGACGACGGGUAGCCGGCCUGAGAGGGUGACCGGCCACACUGGGACUGAGAUACGGCCCAGACUCCUACGGGAGGCAGCAGUGGGGAAUAUUGCACAAUGGGCGCAAGCCUGAUGCAGCGACGCCGCGUGAGGGAUGACGGCCUUCGGGUUGUAAACCUCUUUCAGCACAGACGAAGCGCAAGUGACGGUAUGUGCAGAAGAAGGACCGGCCAACUACGUG